This 422-nucleotide ribosomal RNA is filed under the name uncultured bacterium. RNAcentral describes it as "bacterial SSU rRNA". It matches the Rfam family "Bacterial small subunit ribosomal RNA", at positions 358 to 772 of the family's 1533-position model. The record is from RNAcentral.
GGAAUCUUGGACAAUGGGGGCAACCCUGAUCCAGCGAUGCCGCGUGGGUGAAGAAGGCCUUCGGGUUGUAAAGCCCUUUAGGCUGGGAAGAAGAGUACGGGCUGAAUAAUCCUGUACUUUGACGGUACCAGCAGAAUAAGCACCGGCAAACUCUGUGCCAGCAGCCGCGGUAAUACAGAGGGUGCGAGCGUUAAUCGGAAUUACUGGGCGUAAAGGGCGCGUAGGCGGUUGUAUGAGUGUGAUGUGAAAGCCCCGGGCUUAACCUGGGAAGUGCAUCGCAAACGAUAUAACUGGAGUAGAUGAGAGGGUGGCGGAAUUUCCGGUGUAGCGGUGAAAUGCGUAGAGAUCGGAAGGAACGUCAAUGGCGAAGGCAGCCACCUGGCAUCAUACUGACGCUGAGGCGCGAAAGCGUGGGGAGCAAA